This 466-nucleotide ribosomal RNA is filed under the name uncultured bacterium. RNAcentral's name for it is "partial 16S ribosomal RNA". It matches the Rfam family "Bacterial small subunit ribosomal RNA", at positions 28 to 507 of the family's 1533-position model. The record is from RNAcentral.
GAUGAACGCUGGCGGCGUGCUUAACACAUGCAAGUCGAACGGAAAGGCUCCUGCUUGCAGGGGUACUCGAGUGGCGAACGGGUGAGUAACACGUGGGUGAUCUGCCCUGCACUUCGGGAUAAGCCUGGGAAACUGGGUCUAAUACCGGAUAGGACGAUGGUUUGGAUGCCAUUGUGGAAAGUUUUUCGGUGUGGGAUGAGCUCGCGGCCUAUCAGCUUGUUGGUGGGGUAAUGGCCUACCAAGGCGUCGACGGGUAGCCGGCCUGUGAGGGUGUACGGCCACAUUGGGACUUGGAUACGGCCCAGACUCCGACGGGAGGCAGCAGUGGGGAAUAUUGCACAAUGGGCGCGAGCCUGAUGCAGCGACGCCGCGUGGCGGAUGACGGCCUUCGGGUUGGAAACUCCUUUCGCUAGGGACGAAGCGUUUUGUGACGGUACCUGGAGAAGAAGCACCGGCUAACUACGUG